GAGGUGUGUUCGACUAUCAGGCUGUAUCGUUUCACAAACAACUUCACGGCUACAAAACAGGCAUUAAUCUCAAGCUUAUAAGAGGAGGGUGGCAACGAUGGUCCAAAGAUGACGUGGCUGGUAUCAGCUCUCUCCCAGCCAAGGUGAUCGUUGGUGAUAGUGAAAAGAAGAAAUAACCAGCUUCAGAAACAACUUCGGGUGGUGUCAUCAAUAAAAAACCUCAGGCCUCAGCAUCUACCAAGUAGCCAAGCGCCACCUUGGUUCAAAGUUUGCAGUAUCUGGCCGCAUUAGUUGCUUUUAUAAUAAUGCUUACGCAUAAAUGUGGUUUUUUCGUUUAAACUAUCCAGCUAUGUUUUUCAGACAGUUUAUCUUCAUUAGUGAUUAACUCUGUUUUGGUA
Molecule: long non-coding RNA, 398 nt
Organism: Brassica napus (rape)
Lineage: Eukaryota; Viridiplantae; Streptophyta; Magnoliopsida; Brassicales; Brassicaceae
Exons: 2
Source: RefSeq, a predicted model, not a curated record